RNAcentral lists this unclassified non-coding RNA (746 nucleotides) under Psidium guajava. RNAcentral's name for it is "sequence contains ITS1, 5.8S rRNA gene and ITS2". The stretch from base 353 to 508 matches the Rfam family "5.8S ribosomal RNA". Lineage: Eukaryota; Viridiplantae; Streptophyta; Magnoliopsida; Myrtales; Myrtaceae. The record is from RNAcentral.
AUAAGCGGAGGAUGGAAGUAAAAGUCGUAACAAGGCAUAUCAAUAACGCGGAGGAUGGAAGUAAAAGUCCUAACAAGGUCCUAUCGGGAACCUGAGGAGGGGGGGGGGGGGGGGGGGGGAAAGGAAGGAGGAAAGAAGAAGAGAAGGGCGGAAUGGGGGCGAUGGGUCUUCUUUUCCCAUCGUCCCUCGACGCCAGGAUCCCACGGGCGCCUGGAGCGCUCGGUGCAUUCUCGGGGGCAGCACAAACCCCGGCGCGGAAUGCGCCAAGGAACUUGAACAAGAGAGCGAUGCUCCCACCACCCCGGACAUGGUGCGUGCGCGGGAUGCCAUGCAAUCUCCCAUUAUUCAUAACGACUCUCGGCAACGGAUAUCUCGGCUCUCGCAUCGAUGAAGAACGUAGCGAACUGCGAUACUUGGUGUGAAUUGCAGAAUCCCGUGAACCAUCGAGUCUUUGAACGCAAGUUGCGCCCGAAGCCAUUUGGCCGAGGGCACGUUUGCCUGGGUGUCACACGCGGCGUUGCCCCUAAUCCCUCGCCUAAAUCGGGCGGGUAGGACACGGGAGCGUAUGCUGGCCUCCCGCGACGUCUUUGUCACGGUUGGCCCAAAAUCGAGCGCUGGAGCGAUCAGCACCACGACAUUCGGUGGUUGAUGAGACCCCAAUGUUCAAUGUCGUCCCCGUCGCUCGUGCGGGCGCUUAAAGAAUCUACUCCUUACCAACGCGACCCCAGGUCAAGCGGGGCUACCCG